RNAcentral lists this non-coding RNA (30 nucleotides) under Mus musculus (house mouse). Lineage: Eukaryota; Metazoa; Chordata; Mammalia; Rodentia; Muridae. The record is from RNAcentral.
UCAAACAUUUGUUUGCUGACACGAGAGAAC